AAGGCAUCAUAAAUAGUUCUGCACUUUCUCAAUGGGAUAAGAAGAGACCUACAACAUAGAAUUUCCUGGCACUCCAACAAGUGAAGAGAAACUGAUUUGAAGAAUGGGUGUUUCAUCAAAUUUGAUUCGUUUUUCGUGGUGUAUGUAUUACUUCGUCUCUGUUCCAAAUAAACAUUAGGACAAGCAACCACCAGUACAUACACAAGUUUAUAGUAGUUCCAGGCAG
Molecule: long non-coding RNA, 226 nt
Organism: Papaver somniferum (opium poppy)
Lineage: Eukaryota; Viridiplantae; Streptophyta; Magnoliopsida; Ranunculales; Papaveraceae
Exons: 3
Source: RefSeq, a predicted model, not a curated record